Molecule: long non-coding RNA, 1543 nt
Filed under: Equus asinus (donkey)
Lineage: Eukaryota; Metazoa; Chordata; Mammalia; Perissodactyla; Equidae
Description: lncRNA (ENSEASG00005030594.1)
Source: RNAcentral
UGUCUUCUCUUUACUUUGAGAAGCCAUGGGGCACAGAGCAAUAUUUCUUAAAGUAAGGGCCCUACACCACCUGGGGUACUCAUUAAACAUGCAGACUUGUGGACCAACUGAAUUAGCAUCUCCUGUUAUCCCCUUAGUCCUGAUACCCACAUUCAAGAAUCACUGGUGUAAAAAGCAACUGCUUAGACUCUAGAAUGAGAUAGAGUUUAGCUGAAUACCAGCUCUUUGAUCUAGAAUGUUCCUCACUCCUCCAGACUCACUUUGCUUAUCUGUGAAAUAGAAUUAUUAUUCAAACCUUCUUUAAAGGAUUGCUCUGAGACUCAAACGAGAUCACAGAAGUAAAGCACUUGGCAUGUUUCCUGGCACAAAUUCCCAGCUGAUGCCGAUAGCCCAGGGGCCAUGCUUAGAGAACUACUGGACUACUGGGAAGGAAUCAAUGCAGACAGAUUUUUGAGAGAGAAAUGAUGGAACCAUUUCCUUUCUGCUCUUGACAGUGGUAUGAAGAGCUCCAUUUCGGAUCCAGGAGAGUUGCCCAAGCUUUGGUUACUGCAUUUGUCAGCCCUGGAAGUACAAUCCUUUAGACUAUGGAGGAGCUUAAAAAAUUCAGAUAAUUCCCAUCCUUCACCAAUAAAUCUGAAUUCCUGAGGGGGGCUCCUUUCCUUGGAAUGUUAAAGCUCCCCAGGUGACUCUCCUUGAGGAGUCGCAGUUGAGAAGGGUCCACGGCGGGGGAAUUAAAUGGGGAUCCUGCAUUCCACGUGGGAAGAUCUUGAAUGGGAUGAGUUUAAGAAUCACCUUCCAGGGAAUGGGGCUCCAGAACAAUCACUCCAGCGGUUAUAGACAGACACUCUGGCUGAGAACCACCCUCAGAGGCCAUCCCUCAUUCAAGUACAAAAGCCACCUUCAGAAAACCAAAGCCAUGUCCCCGCCUAUAGCACUUACUCUCUCUCCACCGGCUCCUGUCAACUAUUUUCCCUUUUGGCUGAAAUUUCUAUUUUUUGCUGGAAGUUGAAGAGGGACUAAAGUUGCUGUAGGCAGCCAAGGGACACUGGCAGAGGGGACAAAAAUGAAUGCGGCAGGGAGCGGCAGAGGGACUGAGAGUGUGAGCGUGGGAGAGAGGGGAGAAAAUAUGAGACUUCCCAGACAGGCCAACAGUCGCCUGAUGGGGGCAGCCGAGAGCCUAGUUGGAAGCUGUGAGAGAACCCGGCCAACAAAGUGAAGUUACGACUCCCAUCUUCCUGGUGAGGAUUUCAGCGCAGGGAGCUCAGUUUGGCGGAGACAGUCUUUGGUAUGUCCAAAUCACCCUAAUAACAAUCUACGACAUAACUGAAUUUUAAUCAUGAAAAUGUUGAAUGCAGCCACGUAAAGUCCAGAGGAAAACAAAUGGAGCCUUUCAGCCACAGGCAUCUUUUAUAUUCCUCUCUUCCCCUCGGGUUCUUUUCCCUCUUUUUUUUUUUUCUUGUCGCCGCUACAUCCCUGCGCGGCUUCCCAGGGGCGCAGCCCGCCUGAGGCAGAGCGCGGCGCGGCAGGUGCGGGCGCCCGGCGC